Molecule: long non-coding RNA, 1447 nt
Filed under: Apteryx rowi (Okarito brown kiwi)
Lineage: Eukaryota; Metazoa; Chordata; Aves; Apterygiformes; Apterygidae
Description: lncRNA (ENSARWG00000003223.1)
Source: RNAcentral
GAGAGCAGGGUAAAAGAAACUCUCGUCUUCGAGUAAGGCUGCAGCUGGCUGUAUGCUCCAUCCAUAUGGUGGCAUACAGCACAUACCGGAGCAAUAUAAAAAGACUGCAGUAGACACAUGCAGAGCUUAAUGUUAAUAGGGCUUAGAAUUCUGUAUUUGUACUUACAUUCCAUUAAGGUCCUGCAUGGAGAGAUGAAGCAAGUGUUUAAACCCUCAUAGCAGCAGGGAGCAGAACAUAAGCGGCCUUAAAAAAUUCUUGAUUGAAAAUGGUAAACCAAGCACAAGGGAAGUAGUAGCUUUCUUUGUAAGGCUGCAACACCCMAGUUUCAUGUGUGGGGGCCUUGCUGCAUAAUUUCACAGCCAGCCUUUGUAAUACCUUUGGCCACAACAUUACAAGCAGCACUGACAACUGUUUUUAUAGCUUAACAGCUAAAAGACAAACAGCUUUUUUUGUUGUUUAAAAUUUUGAAAAGGAAAAACAAGCAGGAGUUUCUUGCACAUUUUACAGCCUCAAGCAUGAGCCUAACUGAGCUCUCAGCCUGUUCCCACCAUCAGCCUUCCCAUGACUCUAAUGCAAAACACCAAAGCGACUGGAGGUGAGAUCCCAGCUCUUAACAGAGAUGGGCUGCAGGCUGUAUACUAGAGUACUAUUACCAAGUGCAGAUGCAGGCAGCACAUGGAAAGAAGAUGAAAGGAAGGUGAUGUCCUGUGACCAAGUUCUGUUAAGCAAGUUUUCUAAACUUGUCCCAGUAGUGAAACAGUGCUACGGAAAAAUACUGUACCUCACGGCGGCUGGAGCAAGGACUGCUGCAAGAAGGCUGCACGAGGUUAGGUGUGCUGCGGAGAAACACUCUCCCCUUACUAUAAAAUACUGGACUGCAUUUCCAUUUCCUGGCUACACCUUCAAGACAACAGCUAAGGCAUCCAGCUGGCUGGUUUACUUUGUUCCAGCUCUAAAUUGCAGAAACAUCUCACACUGCCCCAGGGAUCAGCCAGGGCAGAAAGCCCUGACCUUAAACCAAAGCUGUGCAAGAGCUGGUUGGAUCAGACUUCCUAAUGAAUGGAUAAAGCUAGUCACCAAAUGUUGGCAUACUUACGAGACUCUUAGAAGGCACUGUACAGAAAUUUGAACAAGACUUUGUGUCUUUAACAUAUUAAAGCAAACUGUUAUGAGUCUCAAAAAGUCUUCAAAAAGAGCUGCAUCACUGCUUUGACUUGACUCCUCUUUCCUUCUGUUUCUCUAUACCCACAUGACAACCAGAAACACUACUUUGGAGAAGCAGAUAUAUCAACUAUUGAAAUACAGUGGACUAUUUCUAUCUUAUUGCUUGAGGACAUCUAUAUGAAACAUGCCCUGGCACUACUGAGAGCUGAGUAACACAUUUUAAGCUAGAUUCAAGACUUCCAGAACUCCUGCUUUCAAACUUAUGAUUCUUACCUAUCCCUA